CCGUUCGGAGGUAAACGAGUAGGCCCUCGAAGGAAGUUGGCGGGGGGACUCGGGCGAUAGAUAAUGCCUGUCGGUGCUGCCUCGCUUCCCCAAAAGGACUUGGCGUGCCGAUCAGUGCCUUAGCUUUCGCCUCAUAUCCUCAUCGGCCUCUGACGCAGCGACCGGUGGGCUGCGCCACAAGCAGUCGGCCUUACUAGCUGGGAAAACGCAGGUCGCCAGUACGUGAAACCGUUGUCACCCAGUUGAGUAGCCCCCCCACAAUAGUCGGCGGGUGGACUGACCGUAGGACAUAGCUCUCAGGGGCUUACCUGCGCCCUCCCCUCGUAGGAGCGCUCUUCAGCAGGCCGGGAUGUUGCAGUCCUCGCCGGUUCACCGUAAGGCGUCCGGUCUGCUGUGGCGCCUGGUGGCUGGCGGAAUUGCGUGCGGGCUGCAGGCGGUCUGCAGCGAGUAGGUCGGUCACCCACUCGACCCGUCUUGAAACACGGACCAAGGAGUUUAACAUGUACGCGAGUCAUUGGGUCUUGCACAGGCCCAAAGGCGCAAUGAAAGUGAAGGUCGGCUUUCGCCGUCCGCGUUGGGAUCGGGGGCUUCGGCUUCUGCGCACCAACGGCUCGUCCACGUCGCAACGUCGACCGGGCGAAGCUAGAGCGUACACGUUGAGACCCGAAAGAUGGUGAACUAUGGCUGGGCAGGACGAAGCCAGAGGAAACUCUGGUGGAGGUCCGCAGCGGUUCUGACGUGCAAGUCGAUCGUCAGACCUGGCUAUAGGGGCGAAAGACUAAUCGAACCAUC
RNAcentral lists this ribosomal RNA (792 nucleotides) under Arthropoda sp. NZAC 03011788. RNAcentral's name for it is "eukaryotic LSU rRNA". It matches the Rfam family "Eukaryotic large subunit ribosomal RNA", at positions 405 to 944 of the family's 3401-position model. Lineage: Eukaryota; Metazoa; Arthropoda. The record is from RNAcentral.